UUAGUAACCAAUAGUGACAGAAAGUAAAUCAUAUAUAAAGAAACAGAGAAGUAGAUGCACUAUCAUAAAAAGAAAAAAUAAAUUCACAAAACCUAUAGACAAACUUGUGAAAUAGUAACUUGUCAAUUGAUCAGAAUCAAAACACAAUAGUCUCUUUGCUUCCAUUAAAUGUUGAAAAAAGAAAAAAAAAUCUUAAACACUUUGAGUUCUGUAAUAAAUUCUAAUUCAAACUCCAAAGCAGAAUGAAGCAUAAAUCUAUAUUUGCUUUAUUAAAUAUAUAACACGAGAGGUGCUAUAUAUAUAGAAUAAGAGUGAAUUGUAAUCAGAACUACACCUUUCUCUGUUGUAAUAUAGAACCAGCUGGCGACACGUGAACCAGACCAACAAUAGAAUGAAGACCACAAUUCCAGCUUCAGAUGCUUUCAAGGAGAGGAGCGAGUUGAUGUUUAUUCCGACAUUGUUUAUCUACAACAAGAAAAUAUGGAAAUAAUAUGGUUGCAGAGUUAAUCUAUGUGUAUGAGCAUUAAUAAAACAAAGAAAGCAAUUAGAAACUUUACAAUCACUUUAGGAUGUAAUCAAAUUUUAUCUUAACUUUUUUAUUUACGCAACUAAUUGCAAGUAGUAGUUGAAAUAACUAACCAUUAUAAUUUUCUUACUGCAAAGAAAAAUAUUUACAACAUAUAAAUGAGCUCAAAGAGUUUGAGUUAGCUUUCAAUGGACCACCUAGAGUUAGAAGAAGAAAAGGAUCCUUCGACGCAUUCGAUUCUGAUAGUUUAAUCACAACCUCUAUCGAGAGGGCAAAUUGUCAUAGACUUAAGGCAUGGAACAAAGGUGCGCGAAUAAUUACAAAUUGAAAUAACACAGUUGAAGUGCAAAUUAUUAAAUAUAAAGGUAGAAACUUGGAAUUUGUCUAUCAAUUUCAAGAACAAAAUACAAAGUAACUGAACAUAGACUAUAACUAAUUAGUUAAUUACUCAGUAACCUUCAGCAAUUGGCGAUGAGCAUACCAAUUAAAAGCAAACCGUUCAGUUCCAAAAAAGUGAAACCUUGAUUGCACCAGUCAGUGAACCUCAAGCUUUUUAAAAUUCACCACUUUAAAGAGGAAAUCCAUCCAUGCAAGAGCAAGAACUUUUUAAGGACGAAAUCGUUAUGUCAUAAACUGCAACUUUCGUGAACAGCUUAUGUCAAAAUUUGCAUUACGGAGUUUAUCCAAACUCGCUGACCAUGAAGAUCUUCCACUGGGGAAUUUCGUCAAAUACAUAGGUGGCAUCGAAGUUCUUCCCUCCUUAUCACUAUUUUCGUCCUAGAUGGAAAUUUUCACAGAGCAGAGAAGUACUACACAAAACUUAAAAUCCACAUACAGAUGGAAAAUUGGAGACAUCCGAUGAGUGAAGAUUUCUGAUAAGUUCCACUUAGUGUUCUAUCUCUUUGAAGCCCUUGAAGAACAGUGGAAGAAUGUGUUUAUUCGCUGGGGUCGGAGGGACCCGUGUCUCUGUAGAAAAUCCAUUCAAUUGUCAAUAAAAUGAACCAGAUAGUAAAGUACAUUGUACAGUGCUCUUUGUACAACCCAGUGGUCUUGUAUGGAUCAAUGUGGAAUAAAGUAAAAUUUUAUGAUUUGUUUUGUAAUUUCACUUGAACCGGAAG
RNAcentral lists this long non-coding RNA (1644 nucleotides) under Nicotiana tabacum (common tobacco). RNAcentral's name for it is "long non-coding RNA (NTAB_LNC005369)". The record is from RNAcentral. Lineage: Eukaryota; Viridiplantae; Streptophyta; Magnoliopsida; Solanales; Solanaceae.